Molecule: long non-coding RNA, 211 nt
Filed under: Elaeis guineensis (African oil palm)
Lineage: Eukaryota; Viridiplantae; Streptophyta; Magnoliopsida; Arecales; Arecaceae
Description: long non-coding RNA (EGUI_LNC064940)
Source: RNAcentral
UGCCUCCAUCUUGGAUAAACUCUUUUUUCUAAGAAGACGGCAUGGCGACUCAUAAUCACAUUGUGAUCCUCAGAAAGAUUGAAGUAGUAUCCUAUGGUUUUCUUAGAAUAUCCUAUAAAAUGAGUCCUAAAGGACCUAGCCUCUAACUUGUCCGCCUGCUGUCAUUUGACAUGGGUCGGACAUCUCCAAAUCUUGAGGUAUCCAAGAGUUG